UACAGAAAAUGCGAGCGUUAAUCGGAAUUACUAGACGUAAAGCAUGCGUAGACGGUUAUGUAAGUCAGGUGUGAAAGCCCCAAGCUCAACCUGGGAAUUGCAUUCGAGACUAUGUAGCUAAAAUGCAGAAAAGGAAAGCGGAAUUUCAGGUGUAGCGGUGAAAUGCGUAGAUAUCCGAAAGAACAUCAGUGGCGAAAGCGGCUUCCUGGUCCAGCACCGACGUUCAGGCACGAAAACGUGGGGAGCAAACAGG
Molecule: ribosomal RNA, 253 nt
Filed under: uncultured bacterium
Lineage: Bacteria
Description: partial 16S ribosomal RNA
Rfam family: Bacterial small subunit ribosomal RNA
Source: RNAcentral